UUAGUGGUACAAUACCUCAGUCUUUUCGGAUGUUCUAUAAAUUCACCUGGAAAUACUGAGGUUGCGUUUCACUGAAC
Molecule: microRNA precursor, 77 nt
Filed under: Columba livia (rock pigeon)
Lineage: Eukaryota; Metazoa; Chordata; Aves; Columbiformes; Columbidae
Description: microRNA cli-mir-875 precursor
Gene: cli-mir-875
Rfam family: mir-875 microRNA precursor family
Source: miRBase by way of RNAcentral